RNAcentral lists this ribosomal RNA (465 nucleotides) under uncultured Klebsiella sp. Its description in RNAcentral is "bacterial SSU rRNA". It matches the Rfam family "Bacterial small subunit ribosomal RNA", at positions 338 to 795 of the family's 1533-position model. The record is from RNAcentral. Lineage: Bacteria; Pseudomonadati; Pseudomonadota; Gammaproteobacteria; Enterobacterales; Enterobacteriaceae.
CCUACGGGGGGCAGCAGUGGGGAAUAUUGCACAAUGGGCGCAAGCCUGAUGCAGCCAUGCCGCGUGUGUGAAGAAGGCCUUCGGGUUGUAAAGCACUUUCAGCGGGGAGGAAGGCGGUGAGGAUAAUAACCUCAUCGAUUGACGUUACCCGCAGAAGAAGCACCGGCUAACUCCGUGCCAGCAGCCGCGGUAAUACGGAGGGUGCAAGCGUUAAUCGGAAUUACUGGGCGUAAAGCGCACGCAGGCGGUCUGUCAAGUCGGAUGUGAAAUCCCCGGGCUCAACCUGGGAACUGCAUUCGAAACUGGCAGGCUAGAGUCUUGUAGAGGGGGGUAGAAUUCCAGGUGUAGCGGUGAAAUGCGUAGAGAUCUGGAGGAAUACCGGUGGCGAAGGCGGCCCCCUGGACAAAGACUGACGCUCAGGUGCGAAAGCGUGGGGAGCAAACAGGAUUAGAUACCCUAGUAGUC